UGAGUGUCUUAUUUAGAAAAUUGACAAUGC
This 30-nucleotide non-coding RNA is filed under the name Rattus norvegicus (Norway rat). Lineage: Eukaryota; Metazoa; Chordata; Mammalia; Rodentia; Muridae. The record is from RNAcentral.